GAUGAACGCUGGCGGCGUGCCUAAUACAUGCAAGUCGAGCGAACAGACGAGGAGCUUGCUCCUCUGACGUUAGCGGCGGACGGGUGAGUAACACGUGGAUAACCUACCUAUAAGACUGGGAUAACUUCGGGAAACCGGAGCUAAUACCGGAUAAUAUAUUGAACCGCAUGGUUCAAUAGUGAAAGACGGUUUUGCUGUCACUUAUAGAUGGAUCCGCGCCGCAUUAGCUAGUUGGUAAGGUAACGGCUUACCAAGGCAACGAUGCGUAGCCGACCUGAGAGGUGGAUCGGCCACCCUGGAACUGAGCCACGGUCCAGACUCCUACGGGAGGCAGCAGUAGGGAAUCUUCCGCAAUGGGCGAAAGCUUGACGGAGCAACGCCGCGUGAGUGAUGAAGGUCUUCGGAUCGUAAAACUCUGUUAUUAGGGAAGAACAAAUGUGUAAGUAACUAUGCACGUAUUGACGGUACCGAAUCAGAAAGCCACGGCUAACUACGUG
This 497-nucleotide ribosomal RNA is filed under the name uncultured bacterium. RNAcentral describes it as "partial 16S ribosomal RNA". It matches the Rfam family "Bacterial small subunit ribosomal RNA", at positions 28 to 507 of the family's 1533-position model. The record is from RNAcentral.